This is a long non-coding RNA of Oreochromis niloticus (Nile tilapia), 553 nucleotides long. RefSeq lists it as uncharacterized. Lineage: Eukaryota; Metazoa; Chordata; Actinopteri; Cichliformes; Cichlidae. The record is from RefSeq and is a predicted model, not a curated record. The transcript is spliced from 3 exons.
UCCUCACGCUAUAUUCAGACACACGAGGAAUUUGAUUUAAUGUCAGAGAUGACGACACAUUUCAGCCAUUUUUAAUACACACACACUCUUCCCCCACAUACACGCGCACACACCGCAAAUAUAGACUCGACUGAAUGCUUAAAAACAUGCACAUAAACACACACGCACUCCUCGCUCUCUGUAUUGCAGCGGCAGGAAAUAGAGACAAGACAGAGCCCUCAGCUCGGGCGAGGGGGGGAAAAAAAGAAAGACUUCCACUGGUGGUUUCCAUGGAAACUGUCUCCCUUUCACUUCAGGGAGAGGGAAAGCGACUAGUGGAUGACUUAGGCUGACAUUUAAGGUGGCUCGUGGACAGGGUGGUAAGGAAUUUAAGGUGGUUUGAAGUAUGAAUCCAUCAGGCUUUUUCACCUCGAGGAUGAGAAGGGUCAUUUAAGCUUCCUGCAAGCUGAGUGCUAAACCAGAAAACCAAAACAUCUUGAAUUUUGCAAAAACCGGCAGAGGGAGCUCACAACAACAUGUUGUACAAGAGAGAGGAGAGAUAAAUCAGCGAAGG